Molecule: unclassified non-coding RNA, 3775 nt
Filed under: Hevea brasiliensis (rubber tree)
Lineage: Eukaryota; Viridiplantae; Streptophyta; Magnoliopsida; Malpighiales; Euphorbiaceae
Source: RNAcentral
CUUGCCAGCAAAUUUCAUCGCCUCCGUCUUUAACAAAUCUAAAAUUUUAAAAAUAUUAAAAUUAUUUUUACUGCGGACCAGGAAUCCCAAGAAUCUUGUUCCAUUUAAAGGAUCAAACAACAGUUUAGCAGGCCCAAUCUGCAUUCACACACACACACCCACAGUAGAAAAAACUAGAACUUGGAGAAGGAAAACCGUAGCUUAGCUCAGUUUUUUACAGUAAAAUUCUUACCUAUGUCAAAUCUAGAUCUUCACCCAUGGACUGCCUUGGUUAAUGAGCACUGAGCCAUUAACCUUGCACUUGCAGCUGAUAUGGUCGCUGAUACAAGGACAGUAACACCAGCAAAGCUCAUCGUGAGAGAGAGAAAAUAUUCGCAACAAAAGCCCAUCUUUGUAUUGAAAUGAUAAAGUAAUUACAAUGAUGAACAGUUUCCCAGAUACAAGCCAUAAUCUCUAAAGCAGAUCAGUACAACGAUCGAGCUCAACUCAUUAAUCCUGAUGUGUAACUUAGAAACAUGAAUGGUUGCUAAGAAAGACACAGGAUUUACGUGAUUCAGCCCAAAUGGAAGUUAGGAAGAGUGCCUUACACAAGAUACUAUGAAUUCAAGGAUCCCCUCCAGGGACCUAUAUUUGGACAACUAUAGUGAAGGUUACAAUGAUGUGAACCCGAGUUUUCCCCUUAGUUUGAAUUGAAAUGUCAUGUAGUGAUUAUAAUGGAGCUUACUUCUGGCUGGUUUUGGCUCGAAGCUUUUGCUCCAACACGGCUACUUCUAUCUCAAGGCUAAACAUUCUGUUAAGAGCAUGCAUGUUCUCAAGGGUUUCACUUAGAGUUCGGCUGUCACUGCCAUCACAUCUCAGGUGCUGCAUUGGACCAUGAAGGAGCUUGUUAACUAUACCACGGCUAAGAUCAUCCACGGCUCUCCUUGUUUUCUUUGGGAUAUCCUCACCCAUUUUUGAAAGGCAUUUAUCUAGUUCCCCAGCUCUGAUUCUUUCAGCAUAAGCUCUCAAUUUCUUGAUGGUAGGAACAGUCUCCAAUGAAUCCCUCCAAGCUUCAAAUUGUCUUGAUUCCUCAGCAAUAAUUGCCUGCGCUUCCAUUGCUUUUCGGAGGCGAUCUUCUUUAUUAGCAGCCACGACCUCCUUGAGAUCAUCCACAUUGUAAACUCGGGCAUUUUCAACAUCAUUGACACACGAACCCACAUUCCUCGGAACAGAGAUAUCUAUAAAUAACCUCAAACCCCCAGUCUCUGAACCAACAGAAGGAAGAUCCUUAACAUGUUCUUUCAAAAAUAAUGGAGUUUCUGAUGCUGUGCUAGUGAAAAUCACAUCAGCUUCAGCAGCACAAGCUAGCAUCUUAUCCAGGGGUUUGUAAAUAAUCUCAACAUCCUUUAGCUCCUCACGUACAGCUGCAACUCUAUCCUCGCUUCUGUUUACAAUGACCAUCUUUGUGCAACCCUUCGCUACCAAGUGUUUGAUCACAAGCUUCCCCAUCUUGCCAGCUCCAAUCACCAACAUUCUGGCAGUAGCAUGUGAAGAUUCAGGAAGCUUCAUCAAAGCCAAUUCAACAGCUGCAGAGCUUACAGAAACAGCCCCCGCAGCAAUAUUUGUCUCGGUCCUAACCCGCUUUCCAACAGAUAUUGCAUGUUUAAAUAGCCCACUAAUAUUCCUUCCAAACCCAACAACUCCUUGGCCAACUUUGACAACUUGUUUAACCUGGGCAAGAAUUUGGCCUUCUCCCAGAACAAGUGAGUCAAGACCAGCAGACACUUCAAAGAGAUGCUGCGUAGCAUCUUUGUUGUAGAGCAAAAACCGGUGCUCACAAAUUUCUGAAACAGGUAUGCCACUUGUCUGCCAGGGAAAAAAGAACAGUUUAGCAACCGGCAUCAAAAUGUUAAAACUUGAAACUAAUGUUAGUUCACUUCUCUGCACUUCAAAUCGCCUAUGAAGAUCAUGUCAUGUAAAUCAAAACAGACCGCAUGACUAUUAAAUAGCAAGAUAAAAACAGUUUCUUUCAAAACGAAAAAAUAAAUCAAAAUCUUCUGGUAUGAUUAAACAUUUAAGACAGUUCAUAUAAGUUUAAUUGCUCAAGAUAAUCUGCCCAAGGCACAUGAUAUAUUUAAUGCCCAUUCUAACCCCAACUUUCAAUUAUCAUUUGAAAAUUUUCCAUCCUCCCAUUGAAGUAGAUGAACUGCAAAAGGCUUCUUAAAAGCCAAAACAGGACCAAAUAUAACAAAGAAGGAAUCACCUUUGACAUCCAUUCAGUAACUUCUUUGACCCCACGAUGCUGAGAUAGUGCCACAACAUAUAUCUCCAUCCUAUUGCAGGUGCUAAGAACUGCAGCCUCUUCUAUAUGAUUUAAACCACACAAUUCCUCUAUAGCUCGAGGCCAUUCAGCUUCAGGAAUGGCAAGUUUUUCACGCAUUUCAACUGGUGCAGUGUGAACACUAAGCCCAAUGACCACAACGCUAGCCCUUUCCUUUGUAUAUCCUGAUGGAGACCAAUAAUAAAAUUGUCAGCAAAAGCAAACCAAAUACAAAAUCUCUGCAAUUCUACAAUAAUAGUAAAACCCAAAGAUGUCUUUUGAACUACAACUUAUGAUAUACAAUUCUCCACCACCCAAAUUGGAUAACUUGCAAAAUCCACAACCCAUCUCCCUUCCUCUCUCCUCCUCCUUUAGACACUGAAAAAUGAAAAUCCCAAUCACUGAACAGCGCCUGCCGGACACUAUAACCAGACUGAACCAUUUAUCCGAUGCUGAAACUUGACAAUUAAGGCAACAAAAUUCCAACACUCUUCAACUAUCCCAGAUGCACAUUUACGACUUUUUGAAAUGUCAGAGCAUACAGAAUGUUGCAGAACUGCUUAAAGCUCGGUUUUACUUUAAAACUUUCAUUUUCACUUAAAUUUCUUACUUGAAUUAUCCUAGAAAGUUAUCCUAAUUAUUAACUGAACAAACACAAGUCAAGCAUUUUCCCAACAAGACGAUCAAUUUGACUUGAAAAUGCAUGCAAUUUUCAUGCAGAACAAACAAAACGGUUCAAUCAGGACUAAACAUUCUAUAAAAAGCAGCUCAGAAAGGCAAAUAAGCAAUGCAUUGGCAAAAUUAACAACUAAGAAUCACACAUUAAAAAGCUAUCCAAAUGGAUAAGUUAGGCCUCACUAUCAGCGGCAGCGGUCUUGAGCUGUUCAAGAGCGGAAAAGCUAGAAACCUUAGCCGGAUCGAUAUUGUAGUCGGUUCCAACCGCGUCAUCCGUUGAAGCAGAAACCUCAAAUCUCACCCCUCCUCUCUGCAUUAAAAUCAUUCUACAAUUGUUCGGAGCCGGCCUGUAAAAAUUCUGUAUCUGCGAAGGCGAAGCCAAAUGAGCCCUCAAAGAAGACGACCCAAAUGAAGACGAUGAUGAAGACGUAGAAUUAAGUAACAAAGUCUCCAACUUGGCACCGGCCAAAGUGGUGGCAAAACCGCUCGAAACAACCAUAAUAAUGGGAGAAAAAAAUUUGCACCCACAAACCCAAAAACUGGGGGAGAGGAGGGGAGGGAAGAGAGGUUUAAUGGGGAAGUUGAAGGAAUUUGUAAAGAUGGAGGAAAGGGAAGGAAGGAUGGGAGUGUGGCGUCCUCUGGCCUUGGGUUUUGGUAUUUUUAUGAAACAAAAUUGGAAGAAUUAUGGACUUCCUUAAUGUUGGAAUCUGUAAAACGGUCCUGAUUGGGCAAAUAAACAGAAGGGAGGAGGAUUUGAUUUUGGGAUUUUCAGUUUUGGUUUUGUGAACUGUGAUUGGUUGG